This 354-nucleotide unclassified non-coding RNA is filed under the name Pycnothelia papillaria. Its description in RNAcentral is "partial 28S-18S ribosomal RNA intergenic spacer". The record is from RNAcentral. Lineage: Eukaryota; Fungi; Ascomycota; Lecanoromycetes; Lecanorales; Cladoniaceae.
ACCGAAGCCCGUAACCGCCUUCGGGCGUGAUUGGGUGGCUGGUAUCCUCCUACUGAGGGAUGUAUGGCGCAGUGUGGGCCGGCCUCCGGGUCGCGAAUCCCCACGUCUGCGGCGGACCAUCCCUUGGGCAACUCAGUGGGGGCAAUUGGAUGGCCUGUGGGCAUCGUUGGCGGCUUCGGCCCCGGGGAUCACCCAGGCCGGACGCUGGGCUUCGGUCCACGUCCCGACCUCUUAACUAACCCUGACCACCUCAUCUUGAGGUUCUCCGGCGGCCCCUCGACCCUCGGGGCGAGCGGCUUCCCGGUUAAGAUAGUUACCUGGUUGAUUCUGCCAGUAGUCAUAUGCUUGUCUCAA